RNAcentral lists this ribosomal RNA (253 nucleotides) under uncultured bacterium. RNAcentral describes it as "partial 16S ribosomal RNA". It matches the Rfam family "Bacterial small subunit ribosomal RNA", at positions 524 to 776 of the family's 1533-position model. The record is from RNAcentral.
UACGUAGGGUCCGAGCGUUGUCCGGAAUUAUUGGGCGUAAAGGGCUCGUAGGCGGUCUGUCGCGUCGGAUGUGAAAAUCCAGGGCUCAACCCUGGACCUGCAUUCGAUACGGGCAGACUAGAGUUCGGUAGGGGAGACUGGAAUUCCUGGUGUAGCGGUGAAAUGCGCAGAUAUCAGGAGGAACACCGGUGGCGAAGGCGGGUCUCUGGGCCGAUACUGACGCUGAGGAGCGAAAGCGUGGGGAGCGAACAGG